GGUCCGUUUGCGAACUGGAAAGUCUUGGACUGCCAUCAGAAAUCUGCCCUCUGGUCUUUGUCAUCACAGGUUCAGGAAAUGGUUGACUAUUAUACACAUCCAGGAAACUACAGCCCAGUUUUCCAUGAAAAAAUUGCCCCUUAUGCAUCUGUAAUUGUGAAUUGCAUGUAUUGGGAGAAACAGUUUCCUAGAUUAUUAUUGAGUACCAAGCAGCUUCAAGAUUUAACGAGGAAAGGAUGUGUUGGAAUCUCUGAUUUCACUUGUGAUAUUGGGGGAUCAAUAAAAUUUGCAACAAAAUUUGCAAAGGACAAGGCAACAAUUCCAUGAAUAUGAAUAUGAAUAUGAAUUUGAAUAAUUCGAAUUUAGGAAAAAGUGGUGGAGAAUGAAAGAGUUGGAGAAGAUCCAGAAGCCUUGAUAUUUUCAAACGUGAUCCUGAUUUCCUUGAGAAUGAGAAGCCGCUAUGAAGAAUUGAAGAAAACCCUACUUGGUGAGGAGUCUGAAGAGGAAGAAGGUUCUGAUGAUGCAGUUUCAGAUGCCCUUCCCUGGCAGCAUGGGCUAGGCAAUAUACAGUUGACUGAAGAGGACACCACUUAUCUUCUCGUAUUUUUAUCAAGUUCCUUUUCGUGGAAUUGUCGGAGUAUCUUGGCAUCCGUUUGCUAAACCAGCAGCUCAAAGAUCCUGCAUUGCAGGACUCUCAUGAUUCUAUUUUCCCAAAGGAUAAUCCCAAGAACACCAGCUUUGCCAUUAACUUUUUCACAUCCAUUGGUCUUAGCAGCAUCACUUAGAAGCUGCGUGACUACUUGAAGCAGAUGCCACGACUAUGCAACAACAAAAACCGGUGUCAGACUCAGAAUCAGAUGAUGAAGAAUACGAGAGUCGUUCUGGUCCAUAAGAGUCGGACACUUCUGAGUCUGAUGAAGGUGAAAGCGAUAGGGACGAAAGACGCAAGAAGCGCAGGAGGAAAAAAAAGCUACAGGGACGAAGGAGACAGGAAGCGUAGGACGAGAGUGAUGGCAGAAUCUUCGCGCAGUCCUGUACAGUGUUGAUAUAUUCUUUCUUUCUGUGAGCAACAAUGCUUACUUUGCUUUUAGUUUCUGUGCUCAAGAGAGCCUGUUCUGAUGGUAUAUAGUCUUAGUUCAGGGGCUCAUCACUUCUGAUAGUAUGCCAUAAGUUGAGUCCUGCUGGAUUUUAGACUAGUUCUUUGGUUGCAUUUCAGCGUAUGUCCGCGGGGCUAUACUAUUCUUUGGUUGAAGAUGGGGAUGUAGAUAGGAAAUUGGAUUCUAAGCCUAGUUUCAAAAGGAGCUCGUCAGGCAAUAACAAGGAUGAGUCUCAGGUUUUAUGGAUGAAACUAAAAUACGAGUUGAUUGAUUUGUCACCAGAUGCAAGACCCUUGUACCUUGUUAGUUUAUAUCAACAAGAGGAAUGGGGCUCAGCGUGGGAAUUCACUGAGGCAACGAUUGAAUAUUCUUCUCAAUCCUGUUCAGGUUUGAUUUCUCUACCAUCUUCUUUACUUGGACAAAUAUAUUUGCCUUCAUUUGUUUAGCCAAGUGAGCUCUUUUAAAUAAGGUAUAAGGUUUAAGGUUUAAAUGUCUGUGGUGGAAAAAAUAUUUCCCUUCUUUUCAUUUCAAAUGACCCAAGUAUGGUUAUUACUGAAGCUUAAGGUUUAAAUCUCCGUGGGGUUGAAAAAUUAAGAUUUGCUAGUUUAGCCCCUUAGUGAAACAGGAAGUCCUAACACUACUUUCUAAUUGAUUUCUAUGGAGUUUGGUGAACCUAUUCUCUAUUUAUAUUUGUGAUAUAUCAUAUAUUGUUGCAUCUUUUUGUGUUUUUGCCUGGACUUAAAACUUAAUGGUCUGUG
Long non-coding RNA from Prunus dulcis (almond), 1855 nucleotides. RefSeq lists it as uncharacterized. The record is from RefSeq and is a predicted model, not a curated record. NCBI's taxonomy places the organism in Eukaryota, Viridiplantae, Streptophyta, Magnoliopsida, Rosales, Rosaceae. The transcript has 3 exons.